This 425-nucleotide unclassified non-coding RNA is filed under the name Leishmania equatorensis. RNAcentral's name for it is "trans-spliced leader RNA". Lineage: Eukaryota; Euglenozoa; Kinetoplastea; Trypanosomatida; Trypanosomatidae. The record is from RNAcentral.
ACUUUAUUGGUAUGCGAAACUUCCGGAAACCUAUUCCGGCAAGAUUUUGGAAGCGCGCAAGCGCUACAUUUUUUUUUUGUCAUGUGCGGGUGCGCGCCGCCCCUCCUCCACUGGGGGGGGGGCCUUCCCACACGCGCUGUGGUCCCUUUUCCCCUUGCUGCUGGGAGGGGGGGGGCGCGCCGCUGCGGGUGGUUUCCUCCUGUCGGCGUCCCCUCGGGCCUGCCCGGCAUCCUUGCUGGGGGCUCUGACGGCGCGAUUCCGGCACCCCAUGCCCAGUGGCCGGUCCCCCCCCCCUCUGGUCCCCCCCCCCCAUGAUCCGGCGCACGCCUGACACGCGGUUAGUGCAUGCCAAAUGAGCCACCCCCCUCAGACCCACUUGGCAUGUGUUAACUUUUAACUAACGCUAUAUAAGUAUCAGUUUCUGU